RNAcentral lists this long non-coding RNA (5053 nucleotides) under Triticum aestivum (bread wheat). RNAcentral describes it as "long non-coding RNA (TAES_LNC017479)". Lineage: Eukaryota; Viridiplantae; Streptophyta; Magnoliopsida; Poales; Poaceae. The record is from RNAcentral.
ACUGGGGUACACUUUGUAUUAGUCAACCACCGAUUGUCACUGACUCAUUCAGAGAUGAUAAGCAUCCAGCAAAGCUCCUCUGUAGUGUUGCGUUCUUUGAUGGCAAGCUGUACGGGCUGGGGGGGGGGUUUGACCAACUAUUCAUCUUUGAAUUAGACAAGGACCUUGGUAUUUCAUCCAUGGAGUGUAUAAUUGACUAUGGGUGAGUUAGGUGGAAUACCUCAAUCGUUGUCGGAAGAGAAGGCGUAUAUGAUAAGGGGGUAUCUAGUUGAAUGUGGCGAUAGACUGUUGAUGGUGAAACGGUGGAUUCAUCCUAUUGCCCGUUCAACAAGUGAUGACUUUUUCGAGCAUAACCGUACUGUUGCACUUGGGGCUUUUGAGGCAGAUUUGGGCACCGAUCCAGCUGGAUGGAGAACAGUAAAUGAUUUGGAUGGCCAUGCGCUCUUUCUUGGCCAGCAUAGCUCCAAGUCCCUGCGCGCUGGAGAAUGCAGUGGAUACCAAGAGGACUGCAUCUACUUCAUGUGUGACUAUUCCUGGCCAAAGCAUUCUGCAAAUCCUCUUCGUGAUGCCGGUGUUUAUAACAUUAGGAAUCAGACAUUCAUGCCACUGAUGUCGGGGACUGCAGCGGUACCGCCACGUCAUGCUGUCCAGUGGCGUCCGACAUGGUUUUUCCCUCCUGAAGCUGUGUGACCAAGCCUCUUAAUCACUGAUCCUCAGAGUAAUUGUUGGAUAAUGUAUCUGAGAUGGAAGUUGGAAGGGCUUCGUCCUCACAGCGACAGGUGAGUUGUUGAUGGAUGGUAGAGAUUCGUAGUGUUAGUUUCUGUGUUGGUAGGCUGGUAGGUUCAGUUUGAUGAGUGAUGUGUUCUACCUGGUGGCUGUUGUUCUGUCUUGUGGUGGCUGAACUUAGUGAUCCUGUCCUAGUGUAGCGUUGUAACUGCUGUUGCCUGAACUUUUAAACGCGGGCCGCUGUAUCAUUAGUUUUAUUUUAAUUAAAUUGGAGGGUGUGUUCUCCUUUCAUCAAAAUUUUCUUGUAUGAUGUUAGAUUCUGUAUUAGUAUGAUGAUAGAGAUGUUUUGCAUUUUCAAGUAUUAUGGAUGAUUUGUUUUUGCUGGUAUUAUGGAUGAUUUUUAACAGGAUGCAUUGUAAUGCGCAAGUCUUUUGCUGUGAUAUAAGACUAAAGGCAUCUCUCACAGAAUCUUUAAAUUUUGUAACUCCUCAUGUUGGCAUCAUUUGGGGAGUCAAACCGUAGCUAACGGAAGCCCUAUAACUAUAACUCCUCAAAAUUUUGAGUUAACCCUAUGCCUUCUCUGCUCAAAUUUGAGCACGUCAUACCCAUUCUCCUCAAAUCUCCUCUCAUCGAGAAAAUGGCUCAACCGGCGGCAAGAUGCCAAACUGAACCAGCCCACGCCAGUAUAAACCCCGUCGGUGCCACACCAAACCCUAAAUCCUUCUUGGCCGCCCUAUUUCUCCCAAAUCACCGUCGCCACCACCCAAUUUUGUCAUCACUGUUCGAAUGGCCAUGGCUCGCUGCCUGCAGCGGGUAGAGCAGUGGGGUGUUGCUGUGCCGGAUGUCAUCCUCGGAUGAUGACUACAAUGACGAGCCAGAGGCGGUGCAGCUCGCAGUAGCCAUGGCCGAGGAAGCCGAUGAAGAGGAGGAGGGGGGCGAUGAAGAGGAGGAGGGGCAAGGUGAUGGAGGAGGAUGAGCAGUCGACGAAGGAAGCCGUGCACGAGGACGGCGCCUACGACCACACCUACCUCCCUUCAAGGGAGGAGGCGGAGCAGAUCAAUACAACAGUUUUCGGUGUGCACUUUGGUAGCUUUGUAGGCGCUCGAGUACCUAGUUCGGUGUGUUAGCCUUCCGUCGCUUUGUAUGUAUUGUGGUGCUUUAGGUCUAAUCUAGCUAGCCUUUGUUUUAGGUUUUUGCCCGGUUUUCCUCCGAAACCGAGCAGCCUCUUUGUUUUUUACACAUGUCUUUAUGCGAUGCAUUAUCUCUCCGAGGUCUUCUUGUAAUAUCCUUUUUUAAUCAAUGGAUUUGACAGUUCUCCUGUCAACAUUAUAAAAUGAUAAGGUUCAAAAAAAAAUAUAAAAUGAUAUCGAAGAUGGGCAUGUAAAUUUGUUCCCAAGAUUCCUAAAUGUUUGAAAGGCUUUUCUAGUUAUCGUUUUAAGAGCAACACUAGCAGACCCCUUAUACUCGAGAACUGUAAACGCGAUAUAAGGGUCAAGAAAGCAGGGACCCGACAAGGUAGUCCUUCGUCCCGAUGACGCCGCGGCCGCCCGGGCGCUCCUCCCCCGGCUCGAUCUUGACGGGGAGGAGGUCGCCAGAGUCCCUCUCCCUCUUCACGGGCAGCAGCCCCGCAUCGGAAGUGCUCCCCGCGCCCGAAGAGCUCCCCGCGUCGGAGUGCCUCGCAUGGCGGAGGUCGUACUCCUCCGUCUUGCGGCGGAGGAGGGAGCCAGCAACCCAUACCUGGUGUACCGCUUGACCGCGCGCUUGCGCGCCGCGUCGGAGGUGAAGCAAUCUUUGCGCUCCGGGUCAUCGCCGCCACCGCGCCGGCCAGAGCUCCACAUCGUCGCGGAUGGGGGAAGGGGGGCUGAUUUCUCACCGACGAUGAGAAACGGAGUGCGGAAUGGGUGAGACGCGGCGGUGGAGGAUAGGGCUUCGGCCUGUAUCGGACGGCAAACCUGUAAAUANNNNNNNNNNNNNNNNNNNNNNNNNNNNNNNNNNNNNNNNNNNNNNNNNNNNNNNNNNGGGCGAUUUGUGGGCCACCGUAAAAAAAAUUACGGGCUGGGCGGCUAUAUGGGCUCUGGUCUGACCCAAAAACCGGAUCAAACUCGUAUAGUCGCCGGAGUUUUACCAUUUGUGCGUUUAUACGGGUUUGCUAGAGUUGCUGUGAGCAGUGUCUCACUCUGUACUCUUCCCAUCGGGCUUCCCCGGUUCUCUCCCCUCCCAUGGUCAGGUUCCAAUCCCUACUUCUCUGGCGAUUUGAGACUUGCGUGUGACUAGCAGCCUCCCGCCCCACCUCAUCCGCUGGAGGCCGAAUCUGUUCCCCGCCAUCCACCGGCUCGCCGACGAGGCAACAAGACUCAGCAGUAAGCUGUAAGCCCUACCACCUUCGCACUCUCCAUCUUGUCAGGGGUUUCUUCCAGUAGAUCGGGCUGGGCGGACUGAUGCUUUGCCUGCCCACCAUUGUUUCUUCUAGUAGAUCUAUGCUUGGUGGGUUUUUUUACCUGGUGUGAACUAGAAAUGUUCAGGAAUGUUUGGCUCUGAUGCGGACCUCUCAAUAUCUCACACUCUCCCGUUCUUGAAGAAAAUAUAAAAUGGCACCUCUUUUGCAAAUCCCUAUUUGUUUUUCUACCAAAAUUGUUUCAGUUAAUGAGUAGAUCUAUGCCUGGUAGAAAUGUGUAUGAAUUUAUUAUACACUAAAGGAAGGAACACCUGUCGCUCUUGGUUCUGAUGCAACGCAUAUCACUCUUUCAGCGGACACCUCUUUCAGUGGCGGAGCCAGAAAAAUAGGAUGAGGAGGGCCGAGUAUUGUUCAACCUUGUUGGGGUGGGCCAAUCCAUCAAAAACACCCAUUUUAGGGGAAAAAAAUCACUGCUACUAUUCAUCUAUUAGGCCUAAAUCACAGAUGUUACUUUGGCUAACCAAAAUUUGUUUUCUUUUAGUCUAUGCUUGGUAAUAAGUUGAUGUAAAACAGCAAAUAUUCGUUCAGUACUACACUUUCCUGUGAUGCCCAGCCAUUGUUUCAGGCUUUCAGCUUGUACUUGAAUAAGAUGUCACUUCUUUUUCUCUACAUAAUUUUACUUAAUAGACCCGCCUUUUCUUCUAAAUAAAAUGAAAAUGGAGUAAGUGCAGUGACUGGGUCAUUGCCGCUGGGAUAUAGCACAUGAGACAUUGGGAACACUGCUCUCUCAUAGUUAGUAUACUAAUGAUGCUGAUUUGGUGUUUCUAGUCAGAGGAAGAGAAUCAAUGAAUCUUGAAAAAUGAGUGCCUAGUACACUAUCUAAUCUUCCUUGGAGUUAAUACUUAUGAAUUAUGAUGCCAACAAAAUGGUGCUUAUUGUACUGUUUCCUGCAAACUGUUGUUACCAAGUGCAAUGAGCAUAUAUGCAUAGAGCAAGGCUAAAGUGACUCGGCAAAUGUACUUUCACUAGUUUAUUUCUGCAUGAUGUAUUUAUGGUUCCCCCGCAUCUUCAUAUUUUGAUGAUACUUUGAACUUCUGCAGCUUUCUUUUCAAAUAGAGCUGACGAAAUUUAGCCUUAAAAUGGUACAUGAAGCAUAUGUAUUGCUAGUUGCAGUUUUAACUCUUUCUAAUUAUGAAUCAUAUGUCUUCUCUUGUAGAUUUGCAUGAUGGAGGCUGCGGAAUUUCGCCCUUGGUCAGAUCUUCCGCCAGAACUCCUGGGACUUGUUCUCAAGCGCCUCCCUUCCCUAGCUGACCGUGUUCGUUUGAGAGCUGUCUGCCACCCAUGGCGCUCUAAUAGCAGGUUGCAGACCCUUCCUCUCCCAUUCCCGUGGCUCACUCUCCCUGAUGGCACCCUCCUCGGCAUUCCAAGCGGUGAAAUUCACCACAUAUCUUUACCGGAAGGUGCGUGUUGCCAGGGCUCCAUUGACAACUUGCUAUUCCUCAUGCACAAUGAUGGUGUGUGCUACUUGAUGAACCCUUUCUCCAAGACCAGGUUGCAGCUUCGUAAGCUAGCAAAGGUAUGGAAGCGUGAGAUAUAUGAUCCCGAACCCCGAAUUAACCCAAUUUUCUACAACUUGGUGGUGCCCUUUCCACUUGACUCGUCACCCUGUUCCCUACUUGCUGCACUGAUCAUGGAUGAUGGUAACUGGGGUACACUUUGUAUUAGUCAAUCACCGAUUGUCACUGACUCAUUCAGAGAUGAUAAGCAUCCAGCAAAGCUCCUCUGUAGUGUUGCGUUCUUUGAUGGCAAGCUGUACGGGCUGGGGGGGUUUGACCAACUAUUCAUCUUUGAAUUAGACAAGGACCUUGGUAUUUCAUCCAUGGAGUGUAUAAUUGACUCUAUGGGUGAGUUAGGUGGAAUACCUCAAUCGUU